UACGUAGGGAGCGAGCGUUGUCCGGAUUUAUUGGGCGUAAAGAGCGUGUAGGCGGCUAGAUAGGUCCGUUGUGAAAACUCGAGGCUCAACCUCGAGACGUCGAUGGAAACCAUCUGGCUAGAGUCCGGAAGAGGAGAGUGGAAUUCCUGGUGUAGCGGUGAAAUGCGCAGAUAUCAGGAGGAACACCAAUGGCGAAGGCAGCUCACUGGGACGGUAUUGACGCUGAGACGCGAAAGCGUGGGGAGCAAACAGG
Molecule: ribosomal RNA, 253 nt
Filed under: uncultured bacterium
Lineage: Bacteria
Description: partial 16S ribosomal RNA
Rfam family: Bacterial small subunit ribosomal RNA
Source: RNAcentral